UUUAACAAAUAAUGUGCGCGUCGUUUUUACGAGCGACGUGCGCACGUUGAUGAGCUUUUCCGAAAAAACCAGGUUUUUUUGGUGGCGCAUAAUGAACAGCGUGGGCUUUUUCUUCGAUUCUUGUGUAGUAAAUCUUCAAAACAACGCUUGGGUUGAGAAAAAGUGCGUGCCGCGCAAUGGGUGUGGCGAAUUUACCCCUGCCCCAAUGCCACUCUUUCCCUGCGAAAGAACAUCUUUUAU
RNAcentral lists this unclassified non-coding RNA (240 nucleotides) under Paraglomus laccatum. RNAcentral's name for it is "partial internal transcribed spacer 2". Lineage: Eukaryota; Fungi; Glomeromycota; Glomeromycetes; Paraglomerales; Paraglomeraceae. The record is from RNAcentral.